This 674-nucleotide ribosomal RNA is filed under the name Chaetothyriales sp. RNAcentral's name for it is "bacterial SSU rRNA". It matches the Rfam family "Bacterial small subunit ribosomal RNA", at positions 488 to 1197 of the family's 1533-position model. Lineage: Eukaryota; Fungi; Ascomycota; Eurotiomycetes; Chaetothyriales. The record is from RNAcentral.
GUCUUGGCCAAAUUACGUGCCAGCAGUCGCGGUAAUACGUAAAAGACGAGUGUUAUUCAUCUUUAAUCGGUUUAAAGGGUACCUAGACGGAAAAUCAAGCUUAAUUAAACUAAGGACUAGUUUUCUAGAGUUUGACAUGAGAAGGUACGAACUAUCAGAGGAGAGAUAAAAUUUGUUGAUACUGGUGGGACGGACAACGGCGAAGGCAAUCUUCUACUAAAAACUGACGUUGAGGGACGAAGCCUUGGGGAGCGAGAAGGAUUAGAUACCCUAGUAGUCCUUGGAGAAAAUUAUGAGUGCCAUAGACUAAAGUGAAAAAGAAGUUCUUUUAAAAGAACUUUGUAUCUGAGCCUUAAUUGGAUACAAAGGUCUCGAGUAGCAGUUUAUAAAUGAAAGUGUAAGCAUUCCACCUCAUGACUAAAGCGGCAACGCCCAAAUUGAAAUCAUUAGACCGUUUCUGAAACCAGUAGUGAAGUAUGUUAUUUAAUUCGAUAACCCGCGAAUAACCUUACCACGUUUUGAAUUUAUUAAACAAGUGUUGCACGGCUGUCUUCAGUUAAUGUCGUGAGAUUUUGGUUUGUUCCAUUAAUUAACGAAAACCCUUGUUUCAUUUUUAUAUGAAAUAGUUCACCGUUAUAUUGGAAAGAUAAAAGGGAUCAAGACAAGUCAUCAUG